AGCUUUCUGAAUCCAUGCAGAAAUCUCGUCAGACACCAAACCGUUAGGGCUGAUCAGACUUCCAAGAUAAGUGAAGUU
This is a non-coding RNA of Schistosoma margrebowiei, 78 nucleotides long. The record is from Rfam. Lineage: Eukaryota; Metazoa; Platyhelminthes; Trematoda; Strigeidida; Schistosomatidae.